Molecule: non-coding RNA, 100 nt
Organism: Acanthosepion pharaonis
Lineage: Eukaryota; Metazoa; Mollusca; Cephalopoda; Sepiida; Sepiidae
Source: the annotation of a GenBank genome assembly
GUUGAAACACCGGUCCCCCCGUACGAUCACCGAAGUUAAGCAUCGUUGAGCCUGGUCUGUACAUAGAUGGGUGUCCACUUUUGAAUACCAGGUGCUGUAA